Molecule: long non-coding RNA, 363 nt
Filed under: Phoenix dactylifera (date palm)
Lineage: Eukaryota; Viridiplantae; Streptophyta; Magnoliopsida; Arecales; Arecaceae
Description: long non-coding RNA (PDAC_LNC013906)
Source: RNAcentral
GAGUCACGCAUGUCUUUCGAAAGGCGAAUAAUGCGGGGGACUGAAUCGCCUCUUUGCAGCACACCACUCUAGGGCCGUCUUAUCGGAGGCUUUGGAGCACAUGCUGGUGGCACUAAGGCGUAUCUUAUACUGUGAUUAUUCUAGACGUAUCCACGGCUGAAUGUAGCGAGAUGCCGGUGCUUCAAAAAAAAAAAAAAAGUCGACGUGGCAAAGCUCCAUUGGUGAUUUAUUGUGGGACCCACAUGCUACAUCAGCUGGUACAGAUAGCUAGCUCCAACUCUAUACUUCAUGCGUGUUCCACUGCUGUGAUAGUCCAAAAGCUAUUGGCGAUGAUGUUUGAACAAAGAUAGUCGUAGCUUUCGG